Lycium barbarum (goji berry) is the source of this 2841-nucleotide long non-coding RNA. RefSeq lists it as uncharacterized. The record is from RefSeq and is a predicted model, not a curated record. Lineage: Eukaryota; Viridiplantae; Streptophyta; Magnoliopsida; Solanales; Solanaceae. The transcript is spliced from 3 exons.
UUAUACACGAUUAUAAGCAUAGUUUUUCGAUUCCGAAGAUUAACAAGGUCACAUUGCAAUUCCUUUCUAGGGUUUUUUGAGUACUAUUGUGUCAAAGUUGUAAUCUUGUUAUUUUUUGCGAAAUAGUUUGUUGAUGAUGGAACAACACGAAUGUUAUUACAAGGACACUGAUCCUGACAUAGCAUUCACUUAUAUUAAUGAGAAACUGCAAAAUGUGUUUGGUGAUGUUCGGGACGAUUUCCAAAGAUUUAUUUCCGUUGAGAAUUUGGGUCCAAAAUUUGGCUUGUAUGGUAGUUUUUACCAACUUAUUAGCGUUUCCCUUCAACAACUCAAUAUCAGGGCACAUCAAGUGAUUCUCCAACAAACAUCCUUCACACUAUAAUUUCUUUCCAAGUUGCUGGAGGCCGAUUGCUUUCAUCUCUCCAUGAAAAGUUAUUGACUUUGUCAAGAAUCGCGAAGAAUGAAAAAUAUGAUCGACCAAGAAUGCCUCACACAGGCAAAAAGAAGUUAACAGAAUGUUGACUUGGUUCGAAGGAACUGAAUUGUGGGGAUGAGCCAUCACUUUCUCCAUUCAUUAUAGAAGAAAAUUGGAUUUGCUGUGACAAAUGUCAAAAGUGGUGCCUUCUUCUAUAUGGUACAAAACCCGAGCAACUGCCUGGGAGUUGGGUUUGCAGCAUGUUCUGGCUUCCUGGAAUGAACCGUUGUGACGUUAGUGAAGAGGACACAACAAGAUCUCUACAUGCCUUGUACCAAAUUAUUGUCUUGAAUUACCUUUAAAAUCAUGAUGAUGGUAGUGAUUCAUUUGAUGUAAAAGCACAUAAUGCAAGGGAAAUUUCUGUAAAGAAAAGAAAAUUGAGGGAUCAAGACUAUUUGCAAUGUAAUGGUAAUCGCUUGGGUGACAGUGAUGCUAAUUCUUUUGAGAGGGAGGUUAGUGGCGAGAGUAGAUUUAGAAAACAGAAGAAAUCCAAGACUGAGAAAAGGGAAUCCAAUUCAAGCAAGGGUGAAGAGAAGUCAAGAACGACGAGAGGUACAAACAAUUAUAGAUUAAAGCUUCAGUCUGAAGCAGAUUUUGGCAUGAUCCGCAAGCAAGUUUGCAAAUCCCCUGCAAGCAGGCCCUUGGAUAUGGGAAGGAAGUGAAGACCUGCAUUGGCAUUUGGUGAAGAGACAUGAUGUAUGAAUUCCAGAAAUUCUAUUCCGGAGUUGUUAUAGUUCUCACUGACAAUUCUAAUCACAGGUUAGCUUAUGCCAAAACUUGUUUUGUCUUGAACCACGCGAUCUCAAGUACUUGUUUGUCAUUUUAAUGUGGAAAUGGAAACUUUCUAGUGGAUCACUGGUGCCGAUUGUUCUGGCAGCACAUCCUGAUGUCUUGUUCGCAAUUUCUUCCAGUUUUACUGCCUCAAGAACAUUCAGUUACGUGAAGAUGAUAGAUUCCUAACAAUUGCCAAGGGACUUGGGGAAUGCUCUAAUGAUCCAUGAAACCAUUGACAUGCGGACUGCAUAUGAUCACUGGAAACCAAUCCUAAAGAAAUUGUCCAGUAUUGGAUUUUCUUCUGACUCUUCUCAGGGCAGCUCUAGACAAGAUUAAGACUAUGGAAGCCAUAAAGCAUUAACUUGGUAACUGAUGUCUUCUCAGAAAUAAUUGCAACAUGAACAACAGCUUUCUUCAAUUAUUUCUUGUACUUGGUGGAGUAUCAUGAAAGCCUUCAUUGUAAGAUCCACUAAUUAAUAUGUGAGACUAGAAAGAUGCAUAUAGCAAUUUUGUUCUUUUAGGCAAAUAGUCAAUUUGGGGUAUCGGUAAAGUAGUUGCCAUUAGCUAUCUGAAUUUGAGCUGCCGUUUGUGUUUUAGUUGAGCAUGGAAUGCUCUAAAUUGGGCCCUAAUUUGUUGCGGAUUCUUGGUUUUACUGAUGCCAGAAAUCAGCUUGCAAGUUAUCAGCAAUUGUGUAUACUAGACUACUAGUGAUAUUAUUGUUAUCAUACAGUAUUUGUAUGCCUAGUCCACCUUACAAUGGAAGGCAUAAAACAUGACAAAAUCUCUAGCUUAACUUAGUGGGAGGACUUUCUCAGUGUACAGCAGGCGAACUGUUCUUUCAAAUCGUGUUGUUUUUUUUUUUUUUUAAUUUUUUUCCAAUCUACAACUAUACAUGUAUGCAUUUCAUUAUGAUUUUUCCGUCAUUUUUAUGAUUUUUAUUUGUUUCAUAAAGUUGAAUGGAUUUUAGCUUAAUUUCCUAUCCAUUAUUGACUCAUAUCUUUUAUGGAUCAUUCUUAGGUGCAAGUUGCUGCUCAGGAAAUGUAAAUGAAUCUCUUUUGAUUGGACAGUUAUCUUACCUGUGUGAAGAGAAAGUUUCAAAUCUGAAGACACUGAAGCCUCUUAACCAUAAUGAUUUUGAUGCUGACUAGUAAGACCCUUCUAGAAAACUUAGUCAUCCAGAGGCAACGCUGCAAGAACUGUUACGUAAAUUUUUACUCUUGUCCUCUCAUACCAAUGAAAUCUUUGAAAUUGAUAAAUGUGGACGCAAGAAGGAGGAUUCUUUUGCAAUGGAAUGCUUGGACGGGUCCUAAAAUUAAGAAAGUGAGGAAGAAAGAGGAUAUACAAAACUAUGCUCGAGUCUCGCGGUAGCUCUCCCUUUACUUUAAACGCGGCUCUGUGUAUAGUUACUUAAAACUAAUGCAUAUCUACAGGUUAAACACCCUCUUUAGUAUUUGCGACUGAUCUGUCUAAACUUAAGAGAACUUGACUCGUAGCAUGUCAGCAUUUAACUUGAAACUCUUAAAUCACAACCUUUUGUAUUCCUGUAAAAGAAUGAUGAAAUUACUUAAUCAAAAUUUGGACUCCUAUGAAGU